CCUGGCCGAUCCUGCCAGUGGUCAUAUGCUUGUCUCAAAGAUUAAGCCAUGCAUGUUUAAGCAGAUGCCGCACAACGGUAAAGCCGCGAAUGGCUCAUUACAACAGCCGUCGUUUCUUGGAUCUCUAAUUUUACUUGGAUAACUGUGGUAAUUCUAGAGCUAAUACACGCACUGAAGCUCUGACCUUACGGGACGAGCGCAUUUAUUAGAACAAAACCAAUCGGGUUCUGCCCGUUCGUUGGUGACUCUGAAUAACUCUGCUGAUCGCACGGUCUCGCACCGGCGACGUAUCUUUCAAGUGUCAGCCUUAUCAACUUUCGAUGGUAGUUUAUGUGCCUACCAUGGUUGUAACGGGUAACGGAGAAUAAGGGUUCGACUCCGGAGAGGGAGCCUGAGAAACGGCUACCACUUCCAAGGAAGGCAGCAGGCGCGCAAAUUACCCACUCUCGGCACGAGGAGGUAGUGACGAAAAAUAACGAGACGGAUCUCUUUGAGGCCCGUUAUCGGAAUGAGAACAAUUUAAAUCCUUUAACGAGGAUCUAGCGGAGGGCAAGUCUGGUGCCAGCAGCCGCGGUAAUUCCAGCUCCGCAGGUGUAUAUCUAUGCUGCUGCGGUUAAAAAGCUCGUAGUUGGAUCUGCGUGCUCGGAACCGGUUGGCUCACUGAGUUCAAACUGGUCUCCGGCGCUUUAUUGGCUGGUUUUCCCUUGAUGCUCUUAACCGGGUGUCUUGGGUGGCUAGCACGUUUACUUUGAAAAAAUUAGAGUGCUCAAUACAGGCGCAAAGCCUUGAAUAGUGGUGCAUGGAAUAAUAGAAUAGGACCUCGGCUCUAUUUUGUUGGUUUUCGGAACGCGAGGUAAUGAUUAAGAGGGACAGACGGGGGCAUUCGUAUUGCGACGUUAGAGGUGAAAUUCUUGGAUCGUCGCAAGACGGACGACUGCGAAAGCAUUUGCCAAGAAUGUUUUCAUUAAUCAAGAACGAAAGUUAGAGGUUCGAAGGCGAUCAGAUACCGCCCUAGUUCUAACCGUAAACGAUGCCAACUAGCGAUCCGCAGGCGUUAAACAACGACCUUGCGGGCAGCUUCCCGGAAACGAAAGUGUUCGGGUUCCGGGGGAAGUAUGGUUGCAAAGCUGAAACUUAAAGGAAUUGACGGAAGGGCACCACCAGGAGUGGAGCCUGCGGCUUAAUUUGACCCAACACGGGAAAACUCACCUGGCCCGGACACCGUAAGGAUUGACAGAUUGAGAGCUCUUUCUUGAUUCGGUGGGUGGUGGUGCAUGGCCGUUCUUAGUUGGUGGAGCGAUUUGUCUGGUUUAUUCCGAUAAC
This 1323-nucleotide ribosomal RNA is filed under the name metagenome. Its description in RNAcentral is "SSU rRNA". It matches the Rfam family "Eukaryotic small subunit ribosomal RNA", at positions 3 to 1332 of the family's 1831-position model. The record is from RNAcentral.